Non-coding RNA from Camelina sativa (false flax), 466 nucleotides. The record is from RefSeq and is a predicted model, not a curated record. Lineage: Eukaryota; Viridiplantae; Streptophyta; Magnoliopsida; Brassicales; Brassicaceae.
UUGAAGGGAGUGGAAGAUGAGUUAUAUAGGAUACCUGAUCAUUUUAAAGUUAAGAAGCGUAGUUUCAAAGAGAGCUCGACACAGUGGACUACCGGAAUAGCAGAAGUCCAACUCCCAAUCGAAUCUGCCAAGAAGCUUUUGCAAGAGAAGAGGCUUAUAGAUGGGUCGGCCAAAAUCAGAGUUUAGUAUUUUAUUUUCCUGUUUGUGUAGUGGUUUCUUGGAGAGAUAUAUUAUUAUGAAUUUUUCUCUUUUUGAAGAUAAAGCUGGGAUCCUUAUAGUACAGGGCUAGCAUUUAGGAUAUUGGUCACUAAUUACCUUGGUUUAGAUGGCUUAAACCAUCCUCUCUGCAAGGAAAUUCGAGAAGCUGAUCGAUUCUACUGAAGUUACUCCUGCUGAGUUAGUUGAAGAGCUGAUGCAAGACGAUGACACUGACAUUGUUCUUUGUGGAGUAGUUAGUUUUGUUGAG